CAGCAGCCGCGGUAAUACGUAGGGUGCAAGCGUUAAUCGGAAUUACUGGGCGUAAAGCGUGCGCAGGCGGUUAUAUAAGACAGAUGUGUAAUCCCCGGGCCCAACCUGGGACCUGCAUUUGUGACUGUAUAGCUAGAGUACGGUAGAGGGGGAUGGAAUUCCGCGUGUAGCGGUGAAAUGCGUAGAUAUGCGGAGGAACACCGAUGGCGAAGGCAAUCCCCUGGACCUGUACUGACGCUCAUGCACGAAAGCGUGGGGAGCAAACAGGAUUAGAUACCCGCGUAGUCCCUGUCUCUUAUAC
This 301-nucleotide ribosomal RNA is filed under the name uncultured bacterium. Its description in RNAcentral is "partial 16S ribosomal RNA". It matches the Rfam family "Bacterial small subunit ribosomal RNA", at positions 509 to 807 of the family's 1533-position model. The record is from RNAcentral.